RNAcentral lists this ribosomal RNA (548 nucleotides) under uncultured bacterium. Its description in RNAcentral is "bacterial SSU rRNA". It matches the Rfam family "Bacterial small subunit ribosomal RNA", at positions 358 to 916 of the family's 1533-position model. The record is from RNAcentral.
GGAAUAUUGCGCAAUGGACGAAAGUCUGACGCAGCGACGCCUCGUGAGGGACGAAGGUCUUCGGAUUGUAAACCUCUUUCAGCAGGGACGAAGCGAAAGUGACGGUACCUGCAGAAGAAGCACCGGCUAACUAUGUGCCAGCAGCCGCGGUAAUACAUAGGGUGCAAGCGUUGUCCGGAUUUAUUGGGCGUAAAGAGUUCGUAGGCGGUUUCUCGCGUCGGAUGUGAAAACUCAGGGCUCAACCCUGAGCCUGCAUUCGAUACGGGGAAACUUGAGGACGGCAGGGGAGACUGGAACUCCUGGUGUAGCGGUGGAAUGCGCAGAUAUCAGGAAGAACACCAAUGGCGAAGGCAGGUCUCUGGGCCGAUUCUGACGCUGAGGAACGAAAGCGUGGGGAGCAAACAGGAUUAGAUACCCUGGUAGUCCACGCCGUAAACGAUGGACGCUAGGUGUGGGGAACAUUCCACGUUCUCUGCGCCGCAGCUAACGCAUUAAGCGUCCCGCCUGGGGAGUACGACCGCAAGGUUAAAACUCAAAGGAAUUGACGG